This 253-nucleotide ribosomal RNA is filed under the name uncultured bacterium. RNAcentral describes it as "partial 16S ribosomal RNA". It matches the Rfam family "Bacterial small subunit ribosomal RNA", at positions 524 to 776 of the family's 1533-position model. The record is from RNAcentral.
UACGAAGGGGGUUAGCGUUGUUCGGAAUUACUGGGCGUAAAGCGUGCGCAGGCGGCCAUCCAAGUCAGUGGUGAAAGCCCGGAGCUCAACUCCGGAAUUGCCAUUGAAACUGUUUGGCUCGAGUACGAGAGAGGUGAGUGGAAUUCCCAGUGUAGAGGUGAAAUUCGUAGAUAUUGGGAAGAACACCGGUGGCGAAGGCGGCUCACUGGCUCGUAACUGACGCUCAUGCACGACAGCGUGGGGAUCAAACAGG